ACGGCUCAGUAACACGUGGAUAACCUGCCCAAGGGUCUGGGAUAACCCCGGGAAACUGGGGAUAAUACCGGAUGGAUCACUAGUGCUGGAAUGCUUGGUGGUCGAAAGGCAACGCCUUUGGAUGGGUCUGCGGCGGAUUAGGUUGACGCCGGUGUAACGUACCGGCGUGCCUGUAAUCCGUACGGGUUGUGGGAGCAAGAGCCCGGAGAUGGAUUCUGAGACACGAAUCCAGGCCCUACGGAGCGCAGCAGGCGCGAAAACUCUACAAUGCAGGCAACUGCGAUAGGGGGACAUCGAGUGGCAUCCACCUUGGGUGCCUGUCCAACCGUCUAAAAAACGGUUGUUAGCAAGGGCCGGGUAAGACCGGUGCCAGCCGCCGCGGUAAUACCGGCGGCUCGAGUGGUGGCCGAUAUUAUUGAGUCUAAAGGGUCCGUAGCCGGCUUUGCAAGUCCCCUGGGAAAUCCAGCGGCUUAACCGUUGGGCUUUCAUGGGAUACUACAUUGCUUGGGACUGGGAGAGGUAGGAGGUACUCGGGGGGUAGGGGUGAAAUCCUGUAAUCCUCCGGGGACCACCGGUGGCGAAGGCGUCCUACCAGAACAGGUCCGACGGUGAGGGACGAAAGCUAGGGGCACGAACCGGAUUAGAUACCCGGGUAGUCCUAGCCGUAAACGAUGCCCGCUAGGUGUCACGACGGUCGUGAAUCGUCGUGGUGCCGUAGGGAAGCCGCGAAGCGGGCCACUUGGGAAGUACGGCCGCAAGGCUGAAACUUAAAGGAAUUGGCGGGGGAGCAC
Molecule: ribosomal RNA, 791 nt
Filed under: uncultured archaeon
Lineage: Archaea
Description: bacterial SSU rRNA
Rfam family: Archaeal small subunit ribosomal RNA
Source: RNAcentral